Molecule: ribosomal RNA, 497 nt
Filed under: uncultured bacterium
Lineage: Bacteria
Description: partial 16S ribosomal RNA
Rfam family: Bacterial small subunit ribosomal RNA
Source: RNAcentral
GAUGAACGCUGGCGGCGUGCCUAAUACAUGCAAGUCGAGCGAACGGACGAGAAGCUUGCUUCUCUGAUGUUAGCGGCGGACGGGUGAGUAACGCGUGGAUAACCUACCUAUAAGACUGGGAUAACUUCGGGAAACCGGAGCUAAUACCGGAUAAUAUUUUGAACCGCAUGGUUCAAAAGUGAAAGACGGUCUUGCUGUCACUUAUAGAUGGAUCCGCGCUGCAUUAGCUAGUUGGUAAGGUAACGGCUUACCAAGGCAACGAUGCAUAGCCGACCUGAGAGGGUGAUCGGCCACACUGGAACUGAGACACGGUCCAGACUCCUACGGGAGGCAGCAGUAGGGAAUCUUCCGCAAUGGGCGAAAGCCUGACGGAGCAACGCCGCGUGAGUGAUGAAGGUCUUCGGAUCGUAAAACUCUGUUAUUAGGGAAGAACAUAUGUGUAAGUAACUGUGCACAUCUUGACGGUACCUAAUCAGAAAGCCACGGCCAACUACGUG